CCUACGGGAGGCAGCAGUGGGGAAUCUUGCGCAAUGGGCGAAAGCCUGACGCAGCAACGCCGCGUGCGGGAAGAAGGCCUUCGGGUUGUAAACCGCUUUCAGAAGGAACGAAAAUGACGGUACUUUCAGAAGAAGGUGCGGCCAACUACGUGCCAGCAGCCGCGGUGACACGUAGGCACCAAGCGUUGUCCGGAUUUAUUGGGCGUAAAGAGCUCGUAGGCGGUUCGGUAAGUCAGAUGUGAAAACUUUGGGCUCAACCCAAAGCCUGCAUCUGAUACUGCUGUGACUUGAGUUCGGUAGGGGAGUGGGGAAUUCCUAGUGUAGCGGUGAAAUGCGCAGAUAUUAGGAGGAACACCGGUGGCGAAGGCGCCACUCUGGGCCGAAACUGACGCUGAGGAGCGAAAGCGUGGGUAGCAAACAGGAUUAGAUACCCUGGUAGUCCACGCCGUAAACGUUGGGCACUAGGUGUGGGUUCCAACCAACGGAAUCCGCGCCGUCGCUAACGCAUUAAGUGCCCCGCCUGGGGAGUACGGUCGCAAGACUAAAACUCAAAGGAAUUGACGG
Molecule: ribosomal RNA, 564 nt
Filed under: uncultured bacterium
Lineage: Bacteria
Description: bacterial SSU rRNA
Rfam family: Bacterial small subunit ribosomal RNA
Source: RNAcentral